This 473-nucleotide ribosomal RNA is filed under the name Escherichia coli. RNAcentral describes it as "bacterial SSU rRNA". It matches the Rfam family "Bacterial small subunit ribosomal RNA", at positions 1 to 470 of the family's 1533-position model. RNAcentral also lists the same sequence under 1 other name. Lineage: Bacteria; Pseudomonadati; Pseudomonadota; Gammaproteobacteria; Enterobacterales; Enterobacteriaceae. The record is from RNAcentral.
AAAUUGAAGAGUUUGAUCAUGGCUCAGAUUGAACGCUGGCGGCAGGCCUAACACAUGCAAGUCGAACGGUAACAGGAAGAAGCUUGCUUCUUUGCUGACGAGUGGCGGACGGGUGAGUAAUGUCUGGGAAACUGCCUGAUGGAGGGGGAUAACUACUGGAAACGGUAGCUAAUACCGCAUAACGUCGCAAGACCAAAGAGGGGGACCUUCGGGCCUCUUGCCAUCGGAUGUGCCCAGAUGGGAUUAGCUAGUAGGUGGGGUAACGGCUCACCUAGGCGACGAUCCCUAGCUGGUCUGAGAGGAUGACCAGCCACACUGGAACUGAGACACGGUCCAGACUCCUACGGGAGGCAGCAGUGGGGAAUAUUGCACAAUGGGCGCAAGCCUGAUGCAGCCAUGCCGCGUGUAUGAAGAAGGCCUUCGGGUUGUAAAGUACUUUCAGCGGGGAGGAAGGGAGUAAAGUUAAUAUCUUU